Molecule: unclassified non-coding RNA, 583 nt
Filed under: Hevea brasiliensis (rubber tree)
Lineage: Eukaryota; Viridiplantae; Streptophyta; Magnoliopsida; Malpighiales; Euphorbiaceae
Source: RNAcentral
UGCGGCUCUACGCAGAUCUGACAGAGUUUUCUUCCUCUGCUGCACUUUGAAUUGAACUACACCAAGUCCUUCUCAGCUCCAAUCAUCACCAGGAAGAUCAUAACCCUAGAUCUAAACGGUCAAUCUCUCACCGGUCCCGGAAAAUGGUGCUGGUAUCGGCAGUACGGGAUUACAUAAACCGGAUGCUGCAGGACAUUUCCGGCAUGAAGGUUCUCAUCCUCGAUUCCCAAACGGUUAGUAUCGUAAGUGUUGUCUAUUCACAAUCAGAGCUUCUUCAGAAGGAAGUAUUUUUGGUAGAACUGGUAGAUUCCAUUUCCAAGUCAAAAGAAUCUAUGUCGCAUUUGAAAGCAGUUUACUUCCUUCGCCCUACACCAGAGAAUAUUCAGCAUUUGCGCCGGCAAUUAGCUAAUACUAGAUUUGGGGAGUAUCACCUAUUUUUCUCCAACAUGUUGAAGGAUACCCAGAUUCAUAUUUUGGCCGAUUCAGAUGAGAAUGAAGUUGUACAGCAAGUUCAGGAAUUUUAUGCAGACUUUGUCGCUGUUGAUCCUUAUCAUUUCACACUGAAUAUUCCUUCAAAUCACAU